CAUCUUCCGCCGUCCUGCUCACCGCGUUACUGCGGGGCGUAUAUAUGUCGCUUCUACAAGAGUGGAGCGAUCGUGAAAAAUUGUUGGGGUGAGGAGUGCGAGGCACGUAAAUCAUACAGCAGCGAAAUGGUCGUGAACUUAAAACAUCUCACUCCUGGAGGAUUUCAUACGUGCAGAGUUACCCUCAGGUACAACAAUGAAGUCGCAAAACAAAUCGGAUUCAACGCCAUUCAAUAGCAAACACCCUGUACCACAUGGUCUGAAAUGCUUCCUGUCAGAGGAAAACACGAGCGACAAAAGAAUCGUCCUCAACUGACGCAUCCUUCAGCUGAGACUUGGAUUGGUGGUCUUCGCAAUGGGUGAAAAAAAAAA
Molecule: long non-coding RNA, 372 nt
Organism: Rhipicephalus microplus (southern cattle tick)
Lineage: Eukaryota; Metazoa; Arthropoda; Arachnida; Ixodida; Ixodidae
Source: RefSeq, a predicted model, not a curated record